GAUCAUGGCUCAGGACGAACGCUGGCGGCGUGCCUAAUACAUGCAAGUAGGACGCACAGUUUAUACCGUAGCUUGCUACACCAUAGACUGUGAGUUGCGAACGGGUGAGUAACGCGUAGGUAACCUGCCUAUUAGAGGGGGAUAAUUAUUGGAAACGAUAGCUAAUACCGCAUAACAGUAUGUAACACAUGUUAGAUGCUUGAAAGAUGCAAUUGCAUCG
Molecule: ribosomal RNA, 220 nt
Filed under: uncultured bacterium
Lineage: Bacteria
Description: partial 16S ribosomal RNA
Rfam family: Bacterial small subunit ribosomal RNA
Source: RNAcentral